GCUUCCAAUUUCUCUCCAUUUCUCUCUUCAAAUCUUCAUUUGUAAAUCACAGCUUUGAAUUGGUAAUGGUUUUUCCUUUCUUCUCUUUGGUUUUUGAAAUUUUCUUUUCACUUUCCCGUUAAUUUCUCACUUCGCCCUUUUUUAUGUUUGCUUCAGUGAAGAAAUUUCUUCUUAUACGCUGCGUCGUGGGUCCGGUGCUUCGCUUGUUCGCGGUUGUAUCGCAUGUUUUGAUGUUGGCUUUCAUGGUGUCCACGAGCCCAGGGGCGCGUCGGAGGUCGGUGUUUGUUGCUAAGAGGGAAACCACCACCAACAUAGAGCUCCUCCCCAACGACAUCGCCACCUCCCCCGUAGUCGCGACUUCCGGCGAAGGUGCCAUGGGCAUCAGGCACGACCUUAGCCACCACGAACCUU
Molecule: long non-coding RNA, 411 nt
Filed under: Vigna radiata
Lineage: Eukaryota; Viridiplantae; Streptophyta; Magnoliopsida; Fabales; Fabaceae
Description: long non-coding RNA (VRAD_LNC007777)
Source: RNAcentral